RNAcentral lists this transfer RNA (59 nucleotides) under Rhinophis roshanpererai. RNAcentral's name for it is "tRNA-Ser". The record is from RNAcentral. Lineage: Eukaryota; Metazoa; Chordata; Lepidosauria; Squamata; Uropeltidae.
GAGAAGUUGACAAGAUCUGCUAACUCUUUAAUCUGGUACUAAAUUAUCCAGCCUUCUCU